Molecule: ribosomal RNA, 460 nt
Filed under: uncultured bacterium
Lineage: Bacteria
Description: partial 16S ribosomal RNA
Rfam family: Bacterial small subunit ribosomal RNA
Source: RNAcentral
CCUACGGGAGGCAGCAGUGAGGAAUAUUGGUCAAUGGACGCAAGUCUGAACCAGCCAUGCCGCGUGCAGGAAGACGGCUCUAUGAGGUGUAAACUGCUUUUGUACGAGGGUAAACGCAGAUACGCGUAUCUUUCUGUAAGUAUCUUACGAAUAAGGAUCGGCUAACUCCGUGCCAGCAGCCGCGGUAAUACGGAGGAUUCAAGCGUUAUCCGGAUUUAUUGGGUUUAAAGGGUGCGUAGGCGGUCGGAUAAGUUAGAGGUGAAAUCCCGAGGCUCAACUUCGGAAUUGCCUCUGAUACUGUUCGGCUAGAGCGUAGUUGCGGUAGGCGGAAUGUAUGGUGUAGCGGUGAAAUGCUUAGAGAUCAUACAGAACACCGAUUGCGAAGGCAGCUUACCAAGCUACGUCUGACGUUGAGGCACGAAAGCGUGGGGAGCAAACAGGAUUAGAUACCCUUGUAGUC